This 992-nucleotide ribosomal RNA is filed under the name Enterococcus faecium. RNAcentral describes it as "partial 23S ribosomal RNA". It matches the Rfam family "Bacterial large subunit ribosomal RNA", at positions 154 to 1147 of the family's 2925-position model. Lineage: Bacteria; Bacillati; Bacillota; Bacilli; Lactobacillales; Enterococcaceae. The record is from RNAcentral.
UUGUGUGAAUACAUAGCACAUUCGAGGUAGACGCAGAGAACUGAAACAUCUAAGUACCUGCAGGAAGAGAAAGAAAAUUCGAUUCCCUGAGUAGCGGCGAGCGAAACGGGAAAAGCCCAAACCAGCAAGCUUGCUUGUUGGGGUUGUAGGACUCCAAUAUGGUAGUUCUUUCAGAUAGUCGAAUGACUUGGAAAAGUCAGUCAAAGAGGGUAAAAACCCCGUAGACGAAAUGUGGAAGACACCUAGGAGGAUCCUGAGUACGGCGGAACACGAGAAAUUCCGUCGGAAUCCGGGAGGACCAUCUCCCAAGGCUAAAUACUCCCUAGUGACCGAUAGUGAACCAGUACCGUGAGGGAAAGGUGAAAAGCACCCCGGAAGGGGAGUGAAAUAGAACCUGAAACCGUGUGCCUACAACAAGUCAAAGCCCGUUAAUGGGUGAUGGCGUGCCUUUUGUAGAAUGAACCGGCGAGUUACGAUUGCAUGCGAGGUUAAGUUGAAGAGACGGAGCCGCAGCGAAAGCGAGUCUGAAUAGGGCGUUUGAGUAUGUAGUCGUAGACCCGAAACCAUGUGAUCUACCCAUGUCCAGGUUGAAGGUGCGGUAAAACGCACUGGAGGACCGAACCCACGUACGUUGAAAAGUGCGGGGAUGAGGUGUGGGUAGCGGAGAAAUUCCAAACGAACUUGGAGAUAGCUGGUUCUCUCCGAAAUAGCUUUAGGGCUAGCCUCGGAAUUGAGAAUGAUGGAGGUAGAGCACUGUUUGGACUAGGGGCCCAUCUCGGGUUACCGAAUUCAGAUAAACUCCGAAUGCCAUUCAUUCAUAUCCGGGAGUCAGACUGUGAGUGAUAAGAUCCAUAGUCGAAAGGGAAACAGCCCAGACCACCAGCUAAGGUCCCAAAAUAUAUGUUAAGUGGAAAAGGAUGUGGGGUUGCACAGACAACUAGGAUGUUGGCUUAGAAGCAGCCACCAUUUAAAGAGUGCGUAAUAGCUCACUA